AGCUGACUUCCUCCUCAGGGUCUGCAGGAUGAAAUGUCUCCUCAUGUUAUUUUCUAGAAGGGAAGGGGGAAGGGGAUUCCCCCCCCGUCCCCCCCAGGCAGUGGCGCACUGGGUUAAGCACACAUAGUACGAAGCCCAAGGACCUGUGUAAGGAUCUCGGUUCGAGACUACAGCUCCCCACCUUCAGGAAGGUCACUUCACAAGCAAUGAAGCAGGUGACUUGACCUUGGGCCCUUGUGUUUGGUAAUACAUGCACUUAACCAGGUGCGCCACCAUCAGGCCCCUUCUCAUUUCUCUAAUGCUACUCAUCAGUCAUUGGACAUCUGUGUUGCUUCCAAGCUUGGGCAAUUACAAAUUGUGCUUCUGCGGACAAAGGUAUACAGAGAUCUCUUCUGAUAGGUGUUUUUGUUUCCUUGGGGUAAAUCCCCAAGUAAGAAAUUGCUGGGCCAUACAGCAGGUGUAUUUCUAGUGUUCUGAGAAAUCUGCAGUCUGUUUUCCACAAAGGUUGAAUUAAUUUAUAUUCCCACUAACAGUGAAGGAGUGUCCUUUUUCCUGUCUUUUUUUUUUUUUUUAAUUUACCUUUAUUUAUUUAUUGGAUAGAAACAGCCAGAAGUCAAGAGUGAAGGGGGUGGUAGAAAAGGAAGAGAGAGAGACACCUGAAUCACUGAUUCACUACUCACAAGGCUUCCCCCUUGUAGGUGGGGACCAGGGGUUCGAACCUAGGUCCUUGUGCAUUGCAACCUGUGCACCCAACCAGGUGAGCCACCACCC
This is a long non-coding RNA of Erinaceus europaeus (western European hedgehog), 771 nucleotides long. RefSeq lists it as uncharacterized. The record is from RefSeq and is a predicted model, not a curated record. The transcript is spliced from 3 exons. NCBI's taxonomy places the organism in Eukaryota, Metazoa, Chordata, Mammalia, Eulipotyphla, Erinaceidae.